RNAcentral lists this ribosomal RNA (583 nucleotides) under uncultured bacterium. RNAcentral describes it as "bacterial SSU rRNA". It matches the Rfam family "Bacterial small subunit ribosomal RNA", at positions 63 to 644 of the family's 1533-position model. The record is from RNAcentral.
CGAACGGAGCACCCUUGAAGGAGUUUUCGGACAACGGAGAGGAAUGCUUAGUGGCGGACUGGUGAGUAACGCGUGAGGAACCUGCCUUUCGGAGGGGGACAACAGUUGGAAACGACUGCUAAUACCGCAUGAUACAUUUGGGCCGCAUGGUCUGAAUGUCAAAGAUUUAUCGCCGAAAGAUGGCCUCGCGUCUGAUUAGCUAGUUGGUGGGGUAACGGCCCACCAAGGCGACGAUCAGUAGCCGGACUGAGAGGUUGGCCGGCCACAUUGGGACUGAGAUACGGCCCAGACUCCUACGGGAGGCAGCAGUGGGGAAUAUUGGGCAAUGGACGCAAGUCUGACCCAGCAACGCCGCGUGAAGGAAGAAGGCUUUCGGGUUGUAAACUUCUUUUAAGGGGAAAGAGCAGAAGACGGUACCCCUUGAAUAAGCCACGGCUAACUACGUGCCAGCAGCCGCGGUAAUACGUAGGUGGCAAGCGUUGUCCGGAUUUACUGGGUGUAAAGGGCGUGCAGCCGGAGAGGCAAGUCAGAUGUGAAAUCCGCGGGCUCAACUCGCGAACUGCAUUUGAAACUGCUUCCCUUG